GACGAACGCUGGCGGCGUGCUUAACACAUGCAAGUCGAACGGAAAGGCCCUGCUUGCAGGGUACUCUCGUGGCGAACGGGUGUGUAUCACGCGGGUGUUCUGUCCUCUACUUUGUGAUAUGCCUUGGAAACUCGGUCUAUUAUCCCAUAUGAGCCCUCCUUCUUGUGAUGGUUGGUUAGUUUUUUCGGUUUGGUAUGAGCUCGCGGCCUAUCGGCUUGUUGGUGGGGUAAUGGCUUACUAAGGCGGCGAGGGGUGGCGGGCCUGCGAGGGUGGCCGGCCAAAUGGGGAUGGGGAAAGGCCCAGAAUCCUAAGGGGAGGAAGAAGGGGGAAAAAUGCAAAAAGGGGGGGAGGCCGAAGGAGCGAAGGCGCGUGGGGGGUGAAGGCCUUCGGGUUGUAAAAUCGGUUCGCUAGGGAAGAAGCUUUUUGUGACGGUACCUAGAUAAGAAGCACCGGCUAACUACGUG
Molecule: ribosomal RNA, 464 nt
Filed under: uncultured bacterium
Lineage: Bacteria
Description: partial 16S ribosomal RNA
Rfam family: Bacterial small subunit ribosomal RNA
Source: RNAcentral